RNAcentral lists this ribosomal RNA (398 nucleotides) under uncultured alveolate. Its description in RNAcentral is "bacterial SSU rRNA". It matches the Rfam family "Eukaryotic small subunit ribosomal RNA", at positions 378 to 796 of the family's 1831-position model. The record is from RNAcentral.
AGAUUCCGGAGAGGGAGCCUGAGAAACGGCUACCACAUCUACGGAGGGCAGCAGGCGCGCAAAUUACCCAAUCCUGACACAGGGAGGUAGUGAACAGCAAUAGCAGCGCAGUGCGAAAAGCUCUGCGACUGGAAUGAGUAAGAUUUAAAUCCCCUUACGAGUAUCAAUUGGAGGGCAAGUCUGGUGCCAGCAGCCGCGGUAAUUCCAGCUCCAAUAGCGUAUAUUAAAGUUGUUGCAGUUAAAAAGCUCGUAGUUGAAUUUCUGUCAAAUUUCUUAUGUUGGUGCAUACGUACAUAACAUAAGAAAUUGACAACCUUUCUUUUGAUCUCUCACUUGUGGGAGGUACAAUCGGACAUUUACUUUGAGAAAAUUAGAGUGUUUCAAGCAGGCAUACGCCU